This 326-nucleotide long non-coding RNA is filed under the name Phoenix dactylifera (date palm). RNAcentral's name for it is "long non-coding RNA (PDAC_LNC010330)". The record is from RNAcentral. Lineage: Eukaryota; Viridiplantae; Streptophyta; Magnoliopsida; Arecales; Arecaceae.
CUGAAUUUGUCUCUCUUUUGGUUGAGAUCUUUCAUAAAAACAUAUAAGGAGGAGAUUGUGUUGACCCGAAUUAUUAACCUGAUGGAGUUGCAAUCAAGCUAAGGGUAUAAUUCAAUGGGCUUUGGUCCUGGUUAGAUUGAAAGUUAUAAUUAUAUGGAAAAAUAUUUGAUUAACCCUUUUAUUAAGUCACGGUCUGAUCUGGUUGAGUUCAAUUUGAAGCGGUAUAGUAAGAAUUAAAUGUCAUUGGGCUCGAGAACAAAUUCAAGCAAAUCAACAAUCAUGACCCACCUCAAACCCAAAGUCAAUUCCCAACCAAUGCCUUGCGU